RNAcentral lists this long non-coding RNA (2989 nucleotides) under Elaeis guineensis (African oil palm). RNAcentral describes it as "long non-coding RNA (EGUI_LNC000850)". Lineage: Eukaryota; Viridiplantae; Streptophyta; Magnoliopsida; Arecales; Arecaceae. The record is from RNAcentral.
GGUGCUCAAUUGCCAAAAAGUUCAAAGGAACAAAACAACAGGUGAUAAUCUUGCUGCAUUGACUUUCCCCGACGGACAUCAGAUAACUAUUCAAUCAUAAGAGCACUAUAACAUCCAACCAACAAGAGCACAAAGAAUUCAUCUCAUCCAAAGUCCUACACAAAACUCAACUGAUUACCUCUCAUAUAUAAAGGACAACAAAUUUCACAAACUACAGUUUAUGUCGCAGAGUAUCAAUGUCAUCCGUCACCAUUUUCAUGCUGUCUUCAUUCAUCCAGUCAUAACAAACAUUACAUCUUGAGUUGCACCAAGCUUUUCUUCUUCCUGUGUCAUGACGUUUAUUUGUAUAUCCCAUGUAUAAUUGGAAGCAAGGGGUACAAUCCUAUACUUUCUCCUAGUCAUAUCUCAAAUGGUCAUUUAGGAUACUUUUUCAUUGCUAUGUACUUUAUGAAUUUUUUUCACAUGCCACAAAUUCUUGCUCCGUGAUUAUAACUUGCACCAUUAUGUGUUCUGCCAAAAUCAACUGAGCAGCAUAAAUCAGCGCCAUGCGUAUAUCAACUCCAGUUACUAGUGAUGCUAAAAGCUUGCUGUCUAGUGUUAAUAUGAAUAUCCAGACUCCUAUAAAAUCACAAAUAAGCAAAAACCUCCAUUUCAUGUUAUUCCCAUGAUUUUGUAAGAAUUACCCCCUUCCACAAUUUUUUAGUAAGAUUGUCUCCAUACACCCCCUCGAGUCUGCUUAUAGACUCAUAGUUCAUGCUACUAAGAGUAAGAUGCAAACCAGAACCACCAACCAUCAAUAUACAUAGGAAAGCCACUAUAGCUUAAAUGUAAGCAUUGUGUUCAAUCAUAUAGUGUCAUGCAUGGAGGGUGCAUGCCAUUAGAUGAGAUGCUAGAGAUUCUACAUGAAACAAUAACAGGGUCUAUACCAAAAUCCAAUGAUCCUGUUUCCAUUUCAGUUUCAACCAAGCUAAAUGAAUUGCACUUCAACUAUCAGAGUUUGAAGCAAAAAUUUGAUUUAAAAAUACCUAGUUAUAGACAUGAUCUUAGUGUCUGUUGUUAGUUUAGUAUCAUCAGGUGCAUUACAUAUAGUUUCAAUGAUCAUAUUUAAGACCCAAACAAAGAAGAAAAAUAUGAAAAAUAAUACCAGUUAAAAAUUUAGACUUUAAUAGAAUAUUAAAAUUAAAUAUGCUAUCUGAUAGAAGCAUAUAACCCAAAGGUCGUUUUUCUGAUUGCAAUAUGUAAGGUCUACUGCUCAAAUAAAUGGCUGCCUUGAGUUGCCUGGUUGGGGUUGUCCCGCAGCCACACAAGUGCCUGCCUUAAUAUCUUGCAUCAUAUUUCAGAAUGGAAAAUUGAGAUUGAUAUAUAAAUUAGGAUUGAAUGUUGUCAAGUUGGUACUUCCGAUCAAUGCAUUUGAUAUACAAUGCUUUAUUUUUUGAAUUAUAAUUGUCCUUUUAGAAAUUCAUUUCUAUUUAUUAUUUUGAGAGGGUGGGCCUUGGUGCAACCAUAAGGUUGCUCAAUUGUGACUUGGGUGUAAUGGGUUCGAAACACAAAAACAGCCUCUCUGCAUAUGAAGGUGAGGCUGCGUACUUCAGACCCUCCAUAGACUCCGCAAUGGCAGAAGCCUCAUGCAUGACACAUCCUGUUUGCUUCUAUUUAUUCUUUUUGGAUUUAUCUUUUUAAGGCUGCCAUCAUUUUUGGGGCCCCACCUAGGCACUAAGAAGCCCUCAAGUUACUCAUCUACCACCAAGCCUUCAAAAAUAUUGGCAAGAUUUACAAAAUCCUGAUUAGUUUGAAUCAAGGUUCAUUUUCUCGAUAUCGGAUCCCAUAUUGACGCCAACCUAUUAUUGUGCCGGUACAUGGCUGAUUCGGCGUACCGAGUGUAAUAUGCCCCCAUACCACGAACCGGUACAGUAUGCCUUCUGCCAUCUGGUUCGAUACAGUACAACAAACCUUGGUUUGAAUCAAUAAUAAUACCACAGAUUAUAUAUUUCAGUAAUUGCCCUACAUCACAAAUAUACAUGCCUACAAAAUCUAAUGAAAAUUCACAAAAGCCAAGUGGACCAUUGUGAAAAAUACUUUUUAGACAUUAAAUUUCUCGCCCAAUAGCAAGCUUAACUCAAAAGGCCUGACCUCAAAAGCUAAGUCUUUCCUUUUGGCCUAAAUAUCAGUUUUGGCACACAUAUACAAUAAAAAUUGUCCCAUUAGUUUCAAGUCAGAACUCCAGCAAAUAUAAUGGUUUUAGAUUUUUUUUUCCUAGUUUCAGAGUUCUUAAUGAAACUGAAAAACAUAAAGUAUUAUCAUAGAGUUUGAUAACUCGGGCUGCAGACUCAUAGAUGAUGGAGGAACCACCGGAAAAUGAACAUGUGGCAUAAUGGGUUAUGGAAUCUAGAAACACCCCAGCACCAAAAUCGAUAUGUAUGAUAAUGCCUAGAAGCCUAGGAGAUAUUGGAUUGAGCCACUAUGAUUUGCUGACAACAAAACAGAUGGUUGUAAAAUUUAGCAAAUGACUGGUGAGGUAAGCCAUACACGGGCAUUUUCGCAUAAAGGGCUUAAGGGUGACAUCAAGUACAAUGAUGGAAACCAACAGGAGAAGAGAUAAUUUUAGACAAGAAGUCUCCAAAAUUUUCAAGAAAAUGCAGAACAACUAAUUCAUGCCCCAACACCAAAAAGCUUAUGAAGCAAGUUUUAGAGUCACUAUAAUAUCCUAUUACGAAAUUAAAUUAAACAUGCAACAGCAAAUUGACACCUAAUGCAUGAGAUUCAAUUAUAAGGGCUGCUUGAAUCAAACCCAUGUGGAAACUAUAUAAUACAAAUGCAUAGAGUUAUCAAAAAAUCAUGAGGAUAAACAACGCAUCAAAUAUAUGCAUGCUCUAAAAUACAUACACAAAAUAUAGAUCGUUGCAUUGACUACAUUAACUAGCUCAUGCAAGUAAUAUCUCUGCUUAAACUAAUAAACUCAUAUAAUCAGUGUACAUCAUUUCUGUUUUUG